GGCGUAGGAGGCGAGCGUUAUCCGGAUUCACUGGGCGUAAAGCGCAUGUAGGCGGCGGUGCAAGUCGUGUGUUAACGCCCCUGGCUCAACUGGGGGAGGUCAUGCGAUACUGAGCGGCUAGAGGGCAGUAGAGGCACGUGGAAGUCCCGGUGUAGCGGUGGAAUGCGUAGAGAUCGGGAAGAACACCCGUGGCGAAGGCGGCGUGCUGGGCUGCACCUGACGUUGAGAUGCGAAAGUGUGGGGAGCAAACGGG
Molecule: ribosomal RNA, 253 nt
Filed under: uncultured bacterium
Lineage: Bacteria
Description: partial 16S ribosomal RNA
Rfam family: Bacterial small subunit ribosomal RNA
Source: RNAcentral